Molecule: ribosomal RNA, 200 nt
Filed under: uncultured organism
Description: partial small subunit ribosomal RNA
Rfam family: Bacterial small subunit ribosomal RNA
Source: RNAcentral
CGUCAAGUCCUCAUGGCCUUUAUGACCAGGGCUACACACGUGCUACAAUGGCCGGUACAAAGGGUCGCGAAGCCGCGAGGUGGAGCCAAUCCCAAAAAACCGGUCUCAGUUCGGAUUGGAGUCUGCAACUCGACUCCAUGAAGUCGGAAUCGCUAGUAAUCGCGGAUCAGAACGCCGCGGUGAAUACGUUCCCGGGCCUU